RNAcentral lists this transfer RNA (74 nucleotides) under Caudoviricetes sp. RNAcentral's name for it is "tRNA-Val". It matches the Rfam family "tRNA". From Rfam's summary of the family: Transfer RNA (tRNA) molecules are approximately 80 nucleotides in length. Their secondary structure includes four short double-helical elements and three loops (D, anti-codon, and T loops). Lineage: Duplodnaviria; Heunggongvirae; Uroviricota; Caudoviricetes. The record is from RNAcentral.
AGUUCUGUAGCUCAGUUGGUUAGAGCACUUGCCUUACAAGCAAGGGGUCACAAGUUCAAGUCUUGUUAGAACUA